RNAcentral lists this ribosomal RNA (651 nucleotides) under Triticum aestivum (bread wheat). RNAcentral describes it as "partial small subunit ribosomal RNA". The record is from RNAcentral. Lineage: Eukaryota; Viridiplantae; Streptophyta; Magnoliopsida; Poales; Poaceae.
AUGUCGCCGGCGGCGUGGACGAGGACGAGGAAGCUCGUGCUUGGCCUUCCCCUGCUCGCCGGCCGAAGCAGCAGAUCCGCUGGAGAUGGCCGCUCCUCCUCCUACUUUGCCGGUGCCGGUGCCGCCGGAGAGAAGAAGAAGAGGUCUACGGCAGUCCGGAAGGUGGUGGCUAUCGGGGCCAUCAGCCUGGCCGGGGGAGUCGCCCUCAGCGCCAUCAACGACCUCGCCAUCUUCCACGGAUGCACCAGCAAGGCGAUCGACAAGGCUAGCGAGAACCCAGAGGUCGUACAGGCGAUCGGGGUGCCUAUAGCUAGAGGCCCAUGGUACGAUGCAUCUGUCGUUUUGGGUCAUCGGCGCCGAUCCGUGGCGUGCACGUUCCCGGUCACAGGGCCACGGGGUUCGGGAGUGUUUCAGAUCGAGGCCGUCCGGAAUGGAGAGGAUGGUGUGCUUUCGUUUCUGCGCCACCACGACUGGGAGAUACUGGCCAUGGAUGCUCGCCUGGAACUGCAGCUAGAAGCACUACCUUCAGAUGAUGGCAGUCAGGGUCAGCAACCAGUCGUGAUGAACCUAAACCUGAUGAGCAGCACUUCUGCUGAUGACGACGACAAUUGUAAGAUUAGUGAUACUGCUGGUGGUGGGGAAAUCAGUUGA